UCCUACGGGAGGCAGCAGUGAGGAAUAUUGGUCAAUGGAAGGAAUUCUGAACCAGCCAUGCCGCGUGCAGGACGACGGCUCUAUGAAUUGUAAACUGCUUUUGUACCGGGGUAAAAAAGUUCACGAGUGGGCUAUUGAAAGUACGGUACGAAUAAGGAUCGGCUAACUCCGUGCCAGCAGCCGCGGUAAUA
RNAcentral lists this ribosomal RNA (191 nucleotides) under uncultured bacterium. RNAcentral describes it as "partial 16S ribosomal RNA". It matches the Rfam family "Bacterial small subunit ribosomal RNA", at positions 337 to 525 of the family's 1533-position model. The record is from RNAcentral.